CUCUCUCGCCUUCUUUCUCUCAAGUAAAAAAAAAUAAAAAUCUGUCAUUGCACUUGUCACUUCGCUGCAUGUCAAGCACAGAGAAUGUAUUCAAGCCUUUGGCAACGUGUGGCCUUUAAGGGAAGCCCGGGCGCAGUUUCCCUAAUUAACCCAUCCUCCUCAUGCAUACAGACAUUCAUAUCCACACACCACAAUGCCUCCUUCAUUAGACAGACACAAAGAUCAACAGAUUAAUUGAAUCUGCAUAAAUGCAAAUGUCCUCUCUGAGCGUCCUGCGCGUGCGUGGAGAUGCUUUGCUCAAGAGUCAGAGUCGAGCAACGUUUAUGGUACAAUAGAGUUGUAUACAAUUUAACGCGGCACACAUAAAACAAAAGCAUUGAUUUUUUCUUUUUUUUUGAAAACUUCAAAAAUAGUUUGAUAUCAUUUUGCAAAUAUGUAAUAAAAGGGAGACCUUUUAUCGUUUAUAGCAGACAAAAUAAAUAAGAAAGCACCAGAGGACAAAUAAACCUUAAAAAAAGUCAAUUGCACAUGAUUGGUUCAUUAGGUAUGUUACAGUAAAGUUGCAGCAUGGCAGUUGUAUAUAAUUGAUUUCCUUUAUACAUGCAGUCGUAUGACACAUCUGAGCCGGGCCCAUCAUUAAUUAUUUUGCGACAAUGGACACUCGUCACUGACCCUCAUUAGGGCAUUUAAAACAGCCUCGUUAUUGGGGCAAAUUAACCUAAUUCUUGAGGUUCCUGUAAGGCGCUUGUGCAGUCGCAGAUCAAAGCAGUGACAAGUCUGAGACAGAGUGCAGGCGUGACAAACGGGACAUGUCUGUGUCUUCCUGCAGCGCUGCACAAAGUCAACCGUGAAAACCUACCGCUAUUAGACAUGCAAAAUAACUAAACACAUGUUUACUCUCAUAGCCUGCAUCAACGCAAAGAGGGGGAUUUUUUAAGUGAAAGCAAAUGUAAUCUACAUGAAUAUCUUCAGUGAAUCUGUCAAACAGAGUUAAGAGUUUUUUUGCAUUUUUAUUUAGUCUGAAAAACACGUGAAGAUGAAUGAAUAAAAAACACUGAAUAAAAUAAAAUAAAAACAAAUGCUGAAUUUCUGGAGCAAAAAUGAUUAAUUGAAUGAAUUAGAAUUUAUUGCAGAGAGAUUACGUAAAACAUGGUGGUAAGUACUUGCUUGGCAUUUGGAGACAUUAAUGAAUUGCACUCAGUGGAUGGUGAAAAUGUCACUGGCCGUAUUAACUCUCAGUCAGUUAUUCUUGGAAAUUGCGAUGAAACACAUAUUGAAAUGUGAAAGGCCACAAAAUACUGAGUUCACUUCACUUUACAAGUCAUGACAGGCACUACGAUAUGUAUUUGAUUAUCAAAUGAGAAAAUUAAUUAGUGAAAUAAUAUGUGUGACCUUUUGGAUGUGUAACUAAAAAUAAGCCUGCAGAAAAAGGCAGAAAUAAUCUGUCUGAAAACAUAUUUCAAGUAAAAAAAAUGUUGUUUUUAAAAUUCAGAAGUUUCAUAAAAUAUUUAUCCAUCAAAAUAUAGAUAAUUUAGGAUAUCAUUCAUUUGUUUUCACGUCAUCAAUUAAAUAAACAAAUUAAUAAGGGUAGGAAAAGUGAAUGCAAAGAAAAUAAUAGAAGAAGAUUACAUUGAUUUCCCUGACCACUCUCUUUCUCUGUUACACACACACACACACACACACACACACACACACACACACACACACACACACACGCGCGCGCACAGCACACAGAUGUGUUAAAUAGCUUUGGUGGCAUUUAAAGUUUUUUUUACGAAGCGCCUGAGUGGCAGUGAUACCCUGAGAGGCCUUCAGCAGCAGCCCCGGCGCUGCAGCUUCCCUCCUUCAUGUCCCGGUGUGCGGUGCCUGGCCUGCGUUUAACAAGUCUCCCCCUUUGCUUUUUAAAGACACGUUUAAACAAACACAGCUCCACUCUACAUCCCCCCCCGCCAGCCUCCCUCUGAGCCCGGCACAGUGUGAAAAAGGUGGGACUGGGCUUUGGCUGUUUGUGUGCCUCUGCGGGGCGAGAGCGAGCGGCGGAGGGGCGAGGGAAAGCGAGGGAGGAGUGGCGUGUGUGCACGGGAUUUCACAGAAGGACUGGUGGAUGAAUGAGAGCUUCCCUGCUGGAGAACAGACGUACGGGGCUUGUGCUCAUUAGCCGGCUCGAUCCAAGGCUGCGGGAUAAAAGGAGGCAGGGCAGCCCCUGUUGGACGUACAAAAGAGGGGGUCUUCAUGAGUAUGUGUAUCCCCACUGGGGUCCCAGUGAUAUGGAAAUGCAGGGGAUUGUCAUGAUCUAAUGAAUGGUCAGCUCCUCCCAGCUCCUGCUGUGACCAUGUGAUUGGAGGCACAGGGACCCGUGGUCCUUGGGGCAGAAGAAACGCGCAGGUUGGCCCUCAGGAUCUUGCAUCGAAGCUGAGAAAGUGAAAACCGUGUGCACAUUCCCAGCCAGUUGGACAGACGUGUGACAGUUGUUUUUUGAGUCUGGUCAAGCUUCCUCCAUCCUACCGUCUUUCAUCACAUGCUAUAGUGUGAAAAACAGCAUGAAAGCCCUGUGAUCUCACAUGACAACAACACAAAUGGGUUUAACAAUGGAUGCCUGAUGCUUAAAGGAGUGGCAACAAGUCAAUGCUGUUUUCUUUUUUUUUUUUUUUUUUACAAUUAAUCUGGUUCAUGGAGCCAAUUGUACGCCUUCCCGAGGAGCUCACACAUGGAGCGCUGUACAUUUAGGAACACAAACGGCCCUAAUCGAAGUUGUUUGGUCGUCGCUUACCAUCGGACUGAGACUUUAGGGAGUGUGAACAACCUCUCUGCACCCGGCCGAAGCUUUUCUGUACGUCACGUUAAACAACACGGACGUGUCUGGGAGUUUCUUCUCUCUGCUCCUCCGGCACAUCAAAUUCAUCCACUGCAUCGAGGGGGCCACAGGCUUUGUUUGCAGUGUCCCUGCCCUGAGACAGAGCAGCUCUCCUGGACUACACUAAACUGGCUUGGCAGCCGGCGUGUGUGCAGUGCCAGGCUUGAGGGAAAAUGUGUGUGUGUGUGUGUGGAUUCCGACUCACGUACACCCGUAUCUAAAUCUCCCUGGUGCUGAGAUGCAAGGGGUUCAGACGCUUGGCAUCAUGGGCCUGCAUGCGCUCCCAUCUGCACGUGCUCGUAUGCGCCGCGCGCGCAGACACAGACAGACACCAGCGUAAAGGAAGACAAAUCGGGCGAAUUAAUCCCCCGUACCACCUCUUUUUGGCACUCAUCAGUUCGCGACUUGUGAAAAGCGCCAAAGUGAGGAUUGUAAGUGAGCAGGACACUCGUCACAGGUCCGCCCAUGAGACUCAGUGACACCUGUCAUCACAGCUUACUAUGAAGACCUGCUACACACCACCUCCAGCCUCGCCUGGCCUCGUCUUCUCCACCGACAAAUAAGGGGGGGAGAUGGAGAGGAGAGGAGAGGGGCGGAGGGGGUGGAUUUAUAGAUCCUCUCUUUCUCUGUUCUCUGUACUGGUAGCGAGGUUAGAGGGCACAGAGCAGGCGGCGAGCGGGAUGGAAAGGAGGGAGAGCGAGAUAGAGAGAGAAAAAGGCUUGUUUGGUCGAAAAAACAUUUAACAACUUCCCCUGGAAAUUGAAAGAGGAAAUAGUUUUGGGCUGGAUUGCAGUGGGGGGAGGGGGGGGGGGUGAAGCCCAUAUGAGUACCAGAUGAAGAGAGCAAACAGCCAAGCAGGACUGACGGUGGGAGAGAGAAAAAGAGAGAAAGAGAAGAGAGGGACACAGUCUUUUGAUGUCCUUCAUUUACAUCUCACAACAAAACGGAGUGAAAACAAACUGAAGUGAUUGUACGAACCGUAACAGAGGAAGAGAGAGGGAGAGAGAGAGAGAGAGAGGGGGAGAGAGAGAGAGGGGGAGAGAGAGAGAGGGGGAGAGAGAGAGGUGGACUGGGUGUUUAUGAGGUCAUUUACCAAACUUGUGUUCCAACAUUUCCUUCCCACUUUAAUUUUUCAGCUUUGUUCUACUCUAAUUACUUCCAUCCACAUUGGACAGUGUGUGUGUGUGUGUGUGUGUGUGUGUCUUUGUGAAUGUGACUGCAAAGGCUUGGUGUGUGUGUGUGUGUGUGUGUGUGUGUGUGUGUGUGUGCGGGGUUGUGUAUCGGUGCUUGCCACUGCAACUGUGUGUAUUGCAACAGAGACAAAAUGAGCACAUGCCUUCCCCUCUUUGUACUUUAUCCCUCAACUGUUUCUCUAAGCUCUUACAAAUGUCAAACUAAGGAAAUAACAGGAUUUAUUUAGUUAAAUCAGAAUAUUCUGAUGAUGACAUUCAUAGAGUGGGUAACGAGAUGCUCUGAAGACUCAUCUUCUGGUGGGACGUUUGACAUUUGAGUCGCAUAUAAAAAUUCCUUUAAUUACUUGUGCUGUUAAUCAAGUGUGAAAAAUGUGUAAUGGCAUGUCUGUUCUCUCCACUCGCAACUUAUGACUGCUUUUAAUUGUUAUUUUUCCGGCAAGGAAGUGGCGUAUUCCUCAAUAAUCAUCAAUACAUCAUUUACAUUAGCGAUGAACUUUUUAUAUCUGUUUAACAGUAGGGGGACUUUGUGCAAAGGGUUUUGGUUUCAAUCUUUGUAAUUGUCCAUAUUUACAUACAUUAAUUAGACUUGAUACGCAUGAUAAGUAACUGAUACUGUCUCUAAAAGAAACAACUUAGGACCUACAGCGUGUUUACACGCAGUGCCAGUCCAAAUUUUGGACACACCUUCUCACUGAAUUGAAUGGGAGGGUGUGUCCGGACUUUUGAUUAGUACCGGCAGAAACUUAAAAGGAAUUUUGUCUGUUCUGCUAAAACAGGAAGUAGUUAUACCUAUAUGCAGCAAAAUGGACAGCGUCUGAAAUUAAUACAUGCACGUGCAAUGUGCACCUUGCUGUGUAGCAUGAUUCCCAUUGGGGCCACUGGGUCUGAUUCCACCUGACAUUGCAUGAAUGCACGUAGGGUUUCAAGCCCAACGCAGACGGACCCAGAUGUGGCUUUGCUGCCGCCAUUCGACUUCUGGCAGCCGGAAGCUUUUGGCGGAAGAAGGAGCGCUCGGCACCUGGCAGCAGCGCCUCCUUCUCUACCCAGCAGAGCGUUUUCCUUUCCGUCCUGCAGAUUCAACCCAGACACCACGCUGCUGGAGGCCGUUCCACGAUGCUGGGCCCGCUGGAGGGAAGGGGAGACGCGGGGGGAGAACGGAGAACAGAAGGAGACAAGAACUGGGCAGAAUGUCAGACCCUCCUUGAGUAAAAUGCUUUUCUAAAGUGAUUCUGGGGCUCCGAAUACCACUGCUUUUGUCCUCAAGGACACCCAAAGUCAACACUCAAUGAAAGGUCUUUGUUGUCAUUUUAAGGGUGUGGACGGGUGUGCGUUGCAUUGGACUGCGCAGAAGACUCCAGUCCGUGUCCUGUCAAGAGACCUGCGAAUUGUGAUUUUAAGAAAGUUUACCUUGUUCGCAUGUUCCGAUCUAUUGCUUCUUGGCAGCUGCUCGGAAAUGGC
Gasterosteus aculeatus aculeatus (three-spined stickleback) is the source of this 5505-nucleotide long non-coding RNA. The record is from Ensembl. NCBI's taxonomy places the organism in Eukaryota, Metazoa, Chordata, Actinopteri, Perciformes, Gasterosteidae.